UCUGAGGCUUUCUGAGGGCAGCGCCCUCUGCAGCGUCCGCCCCGGGGCUGUGAGGGCGCGGUACCCGGAGGCGGCACUCGAGGCCUCACAUAGGCCGGCACGGCUUAGAGAGGGGGAAAAAAGCGGGAUUAAAGUUUUCCUCUUCCAAGAAGAGAAGCAGAAAUGCAAAACGUUGGGAUAACUAAAUGCACUUGUCUUGGAAGGGGCUCAAGAAUGAUGCAGUAGAUGGCAGAAUGGCCCUGCAGUCCUUUUUCUGCACAGAAGACUGGAGACUCACAGGUGACCUUGCAAUUUGCAUUGAAAAAGAAAAAAAAUACUCUGAUAUUUAGAAUAUGGCUGAAGUGUUCCAGUAGCCCAGAACCAGUCCCUCUGCCCUGGCACUCCCUCCUGUCAGGAUCCUUCCAUGACAGCAGUUACAAUCCAUUCCUUAAUGGAAUCACUGGGCACCACAACAUCUCUCACUUCUGUAAUGGCUUCUUGGGCUCCUAAGCCUGAUUAUGGCUGGAAGCCUCUUCCUUUUACUGCUGAGCUCCUCUGUUUAUUACUUUAGUUUUAUCAGUGCCUUGCUGAUAGCUCCCUUAUUUUAACUGACAUCAAGUUGUUAUUCAUGAAUGUCUCCAUGUAGUUCAUGCACCCUUUUCCCAGUAAUGUAUCUUUGAUGUUUAUAGUUGAUAACACAUGGUUAUAGUUAAUGAAAUUUUACUAUCAACAUGCUUGAACUCUUACCUUACUCUAUUCUUUGUAUAAUUUCAAUAAACAUGUUAUGGACUUGCUCAACCUUUCUGAUUUUGAUAAAGUAUGUCUGUGCUAACCUAAGGUGUUAUUUUAAUCAUUUGAAUGCUGUAGAGAUUAUUGUACAGGUCUGCCUGAGCUAAUUUGCAACCAUGAAGUUCCACAGCAGGUUGACUGUAUGUGUUUUGGUAAAUGUUUUUUUUAAUAAGGAACCAAGCAAACUUUCAAAAAUUUAGUUUCAUUCAGGCUCGCUAGAUUCUAACUCCUGUUCCUAAAAGAAUUCUCAUUUGAUGAUAGCAGUGAGUUUUUAUUAUCAGGUUUUAAAUCUUUCCAUCACACAGCUGUCAAUG
Molecule: non-coding RNA, 1082 nt
Organism: Zonotrichia albicollis (white-throated sparrow)
Lineage: Eukaryota; Metazoa; Chordata; Aves; Passeriformes; Passerellidae
Source: RefSeq, a predicted model, not a curated record